AGCGAACGCUGGCGGCAGGCCUAACACAUGCAAGUCGAACGAACCUUUCGGGGUUAGUGGCGGACGGGUGAGUAACACGUGGGAACGUGCCUUUAGGUUCGGAAUAACUCAGGGAAACUUGUGCUAAUACCGAAUGUGCCCUUCGGGGGAAAGAUUAAUCGCCUUUAGAGCGGCCCGCGUCUGAUUAGCUAGUUGGUUGAGGUAAUGGCUCACCAAGGCGACGAUCAGUAGCUGGUCUGAGAGGAUGAUCAGCCACAUUGGGACUGAGACACGGCCCAAACUCCUACGGGAGGCAGUAGUGGGGAAUCUUGCGCAAUGGGCGAAAGCCUGACGCAGCCAUGCCGCGUGAAUGAUGAAGGUCUUAGGAUUGUAAAAUUCUUUCACCGGGGACGAUAAUGACGGUACCCGGAGAAGAAGCCCCGGCUAACUUCGUG
Molecule: ribosomal RNA, 434 nt
Filed under: uncultured bacterium
Lineage: Bacteria
Description: partial 16S ribosomal RNA
Rfam family: Bacterial small subunit ribosomal RNA
Source: RNAcentral